GAAAAGGCUUACAGUAGAUACCUAGGCACCCAGAGAUAAGGAAGGGCGUAGUAAUCGACGAAAUGCUUUAGGGAGUUGGAAAUAAGCAUAGAUCCAAAGAUUACCCAAUAGGGCAACCUUUCAAACUGCAGUUGAAUCCAUGGGCAGGAAAGAGACAACCAGGCGAACUAAAAUAUCUUUGUAGCCAGAGAAAAAGAAAGCAAAAGUGAUUCCCAUAGUAGCAGCGAGCGAAAUAGGAGCAGCCUAAACCAGGAAAAUAGGGAUGUGGGAAAGCAAUACAAGUUUCGUGCUGCUAGGCGAAGGACCCGAAAUGCUACACCCUAGAUGGCAAAAGACCAGUAGCCAAAAGCAUCACUAGCUUACUCUCUGACCCGAGUAGCAUGGGGCAUAUGGAAUCCCGUGUGAAUCAGCAAGGACCACCUUGGAAGGCUAAAUACUCCUGGGUGACCAAUAGCGAAGUAGUACCAUGAGGGAAGGGUGAAAAGAACCCCCAUCGGGGAGUGAAAUAGAACAUGAAACCAUAAGCUACCAAGCAGUGGGAGGAGCCAUGGCUCUAACCGCGUGCCUGUUGAAGAAUGAGCCAGCGACUCAUAGGCAGUGGCUUGGUUAAGGGAACCCACCGGAGCCAUAGCAAAAAUGAGUCUUCAUAGGGCAAUUGUUACAGCUUAUGGACCAAAACCUAGGUGAUCUAUCCAUAACCAGGAUGAAGCUUGGGUGAAACUAAGUGAAGGUCCGAACAGACUAAUGUUGAAGAAUCAGAGGAUGAGUUGUGGUUAAUAAUAAAAUACUACUCGAACCCAGAGCUAGCUGGUUCUCCCUGAAAUGCAUUGAGGCACAGAAGUUGAUUGGACAUCUAGGGGUAAAGCACUAUUUUGGUGCAGGCCACGAGAGCGGUACCAAAUCAAGGAAAACUCUAAAUACUAGGUAUCACCUUAAAAUUAAAAAAGAGGGGUCAAAGUCAGCUAGUGAGACGAUGAGGGAUAAGCUUCAUCGUCGAGAGGGAAACAACCCGGAUUACCAGCUAAGGCCCCUAAAUGGCCACUCAAUGAUAAAGGAGGUAGGGGUGCAGAGACAGCCAGGAGGUUUGCCUAGAAGCAGCCACCCUUGAAAGAGUGCAUAAUAGCUCACUGAUCGAGCGCUCUUGCGCCGAAGAUGAACGGGGCUAAGCGAUCUACCAAAGCUGUGGGGUGUAAAAAUACAUCGGUAGGGGAGCGUUCCACCUUACAAGAAAGCCUCCUCAUGAGCGGUGGUGGAUGAAGCGAAAGCGAGAAUAUCAGUUUGAGUAAUGCAAACAUUGGUGAUAAUCCAAUGCCUCGAAAACCUAAGGGUUCCUCCGCAAGGUUCAUCCACAAAGGGUGAUUCAGGGUCUAAGAUCAGGCCGAAAGGCAUAGUCGAUGGACAACAGGUGAAUAUUCCUGUACUAACCCUUGUUGGUCCUGAGGGAUGGAGGAGGCUAGGUUAGACAAAAGAUGGUUAUCGGUUCAAGAACAUAAGGUGUCCCUGCCCUUUUUUCAGGGUAAGAAGGGGUAGAGAAAAUACCUCGAGCCAAUAUUCGAAUACCACGCGCUACGGUGCUGAAGUAACCCAUGCCAUACUCCCAGAAAAAGCUCAAACAACUUUGAGCAAGAGGGUACCUAUACCCGAAACUGACACAGGUGGGUAGGUAGAGAAUACCUAGGGGCAUGAGACAACUCUCUCUAAGGAACUCGGCAAAAUAGCCCCGUAACUUUGCGAGAAGGGGUGCCUCUUCACAUCACAAAGGGGGUCGUAGGCAUGAGACUAUGUAUGGGGGCUAAAGCCUGCCCAGUGCCAGAAGGUCAAGGAAGUUGGUGACCUGAUGACAGGGGAGCUAGCGACCGAAACCCCGGUGAACGACGGCCAUAACUAUAACGGUCCUAAGGUAAUGAAAUUUCUUGUCGGGAAAGUUUCGACCCGUAUGAAAGUCGUAACGAUCUGGGCACUGUCUCGAAGAGAGGCUCGGUGAAAUAGAUAUGUCUGUGAAGAUGCGGAAUACCUGCACCUGGACAAAAAGACCCUAUGAAGCUUCACUGUUCCCUGGGAUUGGCUUUGGGCCUUUCCUGUGCAGUUUAGGUGGAAGGCGAAGAAAGCCUCUUUCCGGGGGGGGCCCAACCCAUCAGUGAGAUACCACUCUGGAAGGGCUAAAAUUCUAACCUUGUGUCAUGACCUACGGGCCAAGGGACAGUCUCAGGUAGACAGUUUCUAUGGGGCGUAGGCCUCCCGAAAGGUAACAGAGACGUGCAAAGGUUUCCUCGAGCCGGACGGAGAUUGGCCCUCAAGUGGAAAGGCAGAAGGGAGCUUGACUGCAAGACCCACCCGUCGAGCAGGGAUGAAAGUCGGCCUUAGUGAUCCGAUGGUGCCGAGUGGAAGGGCCGUCGCUCAAUGGAUAAAAGUUACUCUAGGGAUAACAGGCUUAUAUUUCCCAAGAGCUCAUAUCAACAGGAAGGUUUGGCACCUCGAUGUAGGCUCUUUGCCACCUGGGGCUGUAGUAUGUUCCAAAGGUUGGGCUGUUCGCCCAUUAAAGCGGUACGUGAGCUGGGUUCAGAAUGUCGUGAGACAGUUCAGUCCAUAUCCAGUGUGGGAGUUAGAGCAUUGAUAGGACCUUUCCCUAGUACGAGAGGACUGGGAAGGAUGCACCUGUGGUGUACCAGUUAUCGUGCCCACGGUAAAUGCAGGGUAGACAAGUUCGGAGCGGAUAACUGCUGAAAGUAUCUAAGUAGUAAGCCCACCCUAAGAUGAGUGCUCUCCUAUUCCGACUUCCCCAGAGCUUCCGGUAGCACAGCCGAGACAGCGACGGGUUCUCUGCCCCUGCGGGGAUGGAGCGACAGAAGUUUUUUUGAGAAUUCAAGAGAAGGUCACGGCGAGACGAGCCGUUUAUCAUUACGAUAGGUGUCAAGUGGAAGUGCAGUGAUGUAUGCAGCUGAGGCAUCCUAACAGACCGGUAGACUUAAAC
This 2971-nucleotide ribosomal RNA is filed under the name Capsicum annuum. RNAcentral describes it as "bacterial LSU rRNA". It matches the Rfam family "Bacterial large subunit ribosomal RNA". The record is from RNAcentral. Lineage: Eukaryota; Viridiplantae; Streptophyta; Magnoliopsida; Solanales; Solanaceae.